RNAcentral lists this ribosomal RNA (124 nucleotides) under Macrococcoides bohemicum. RNAcentral's name for it is "partial 23S ribosomal RNA". It matches the Rfam family "Bacterial large subunit ribosomal RNA", at positions 2802 to 2925 of the family's 2925-position model. The record is from RNAcentral. Lineage: Bacteria; Bacillati; Bacillota; Bacilli; Caryophanales; Staphylococcaceae.
AGAUGAGAUUUCCCAACUUCGGUUAUAAGAUCCCUCAAAGAUGAUGAGGUUAAUAGGUUCGAGGUGGAAGUACAGUAAUGUAUGGAGCUGACGAAUACUAAUCGAUCGAAGACUUAAUCAAUUU